GAGCGCGUUGUGAGGAGGCGCGUCGUGUGGAGGGCGUCGUGACGGGGACGUCGUGAGGGGCGCGCUGUGAGGCGAGUCUCUGCCCCCUGCCCCUGGAGCUCCCUCCCGCUCCUCAGCUCCCCCCGCAGUCAGGGGCUCUUCCUGUCAGUGCCUCAGGGCCCCUGCAUUCGCCUCCCCCGGGCAGCCCGGUCCUCCUGGGGGAGUCAGCCUCUCUCGCCGGAGCCCGAAGGCCGCCUCCCCUUCUGCCACAGCCCCCUUUGGCUCCCGGCUCUGGACAUCUGCCCUCCAGUGGAUCUGUCUGAAACCGCCCGCCCUUAGCCGGGCAGGAGGCAGCAAGCGCGCGCGCUGCGGGCAGGGGCGGUUUCUGCAGGAGGGACCCUGCCUGAGCUAAACACCGAGAAGACGGCAGGAGGCAGACGGCGAGAUGGGGGAAAGGAAGAUAAUCUGGAAAGUUCCACCGCAGGAAAGACAGUCCCGGUGGCCAGCUGGCCUCUCAGAGGCCCCUUAGUAAGCUGAGGACCCGAACCCUUACGGAAAUGUAACUGAGACAAGCACGAAGCAGAGUGGAACGAAACAGAACAGAGGAGACGCGGGCACAGGAGAGCGCAGAGGCAGCUCUGGGUGCUUAGGAAUGGAGACUGCCGCGGGCCAGCGGGGCUAAGUCCCGGGGUCGCAGAUGCCUGUGUGCGGGGGCAGGUGCUGGCGUGCGGGGCCUGCCCCAGCCCCUGCCUGGCAGAAAGCCCCAGAAUCCAGGGGCCUCUGCCCAGAGGAGGUCUCGUCCUGUGUCAAAGGACCAGGGCGAGGGCGCUGGGCUUCCCUGUGCUUCGCCGAAGGCCCCGGCACUCACACUGCGGGCCUGGCCGUGGAGGGAAGGGCUCGGGGAGUAAGUGCACGCUCCUGGCACUGUCAUGCGUGCAGUGGCCCCGGCACCCGCGAGUGUGUCGGCCAGGCAGUGGGGCGGCAGGGAGCACGUUUGCGGCCCUGGCUUCAACCCACCUGGGCUUCAAUUCCGAGUUCCACCGCUUUGGAGCUCUGUGGCCAUGGAUAAUGGCUCAACCUUCCCGAAUGAUUUGUUUUUUCAUCUGCAACCAUGGAGAAAAUUAUAACAGCCACAUGAAAGGAUUGUUGAGGGGAUGCAGUGAGUUUUUUCAAAGCACUAAGUAAACAUCCUACACAGUUCUCCAGCCCCGGCUAAAUGGGGAAAGCCCCUUGAGGAUGGGGCCGUGUUAGUAGGUUACUCUCAGUCCUCAGCACUUCCGCAUCCGUUAUUUCUCUUAAUGAAUUAAUAUCUGUGAGGCAUGUGUUAUAAAUAAUAUUCCCUAACUGGAUUUAAAAGGAGAGCUUCCUGGGAAUUUCAGGCUCUUUAAGGAGUGUGGCCCUUGUCACCCUGGGGACCAGGGCCACUGCGGCCAGAGGUGUCAGCCAGGGUGAGGACCUCUUCCUUUUCUUUGAGAGCAGGACUAAAUUAACAAGCUGAAGCCAGCUUACCUUGGAUGUGGAUCAUUUUGGCAGUGUUCAACUUUGAGACAAGGAAGUGUGCGACAUUAUUGUCAGCGGAGAGAGGCCCCAGGCAGAAGGUCACUUCCUGAGGUGUCUGGGAAGCACUGCGGCAAGAGACCCCCAUUUCCCAGCAAAUGCUUCCUUACUCAAUCUUUCGGCUACCUGGACUUUACUACCACAUCUACAGAGCCAUCAUUGGCUUCUAAUGAUGAGCCUGAGGCACCGGGGCGCCUUCUGAAUCAUCAGAGCCCGAUGAAAUUGUGUGUUAUUGAGAUGUGCUGUUCCCAUCUUUGCAAAGAGGCCAUGGAUGCAUGCAAUGAAAGCUUUUGCUGAGCCGAAUACGCUGUUAGCACGACCGUCUCCCCACUGACGUAUUGCACCAGACAAACACCAGACGUCAAGGACAUUGGGAAAGCACCAACAUAUUCAGCCAGGCAGUGUGGGGAUGCACCCCCAGUCCCGAGAUGAAAACCUCCAGCCAGCCCAGCGCUUCCCAGCAGGGAGCACAGAACACCAUGAAGCCUCAAGAUGUUGCUUUCCUAAAACAGACCAGCGUGGUUCAUGGAUUUGGGGCUCUAAGUGCCCCCCAUUUCCCUUCUCCUAGACCUCGUCCCCAGCAUCGCGACGCUAUUGGGGCUGGAGCACCCAGCUGGGAGGUUAAACUUUCCUAACCUGGGCUCAACCUUGGUUUCGUCUCUCAGUCUUAAUUUUGCUUCAGCCUGGUCUGUCUUGCUGGUUUAUGCUGUCAUCUAACACAGGGCCAGCAAUGAAGAUGCUUAGUAAAAGCUGUAGAAAGGAUAAAUUUAAAGGUUUUAAUUGUUUUAUUUUACUAUUUUAUUUAUUUUUUUCAUUUCUUGAAUAUAUAACAUGCACUGGCAUGCCCCCCUAUUCCUCCAGCACUUACUUCUACCAUUCAGAGAUGAGCACGCUUACCAGUUUCUUGGCAAUGCAAGUAUUAUAUAAUGCAUUAUCUGCAUAAAUAUAUGUCAUAUAUACACAUACAUAUGUGUAUACACAUAUACAAUAUAUUAUAUGAGUGACAGUAUCCUAAACAUACCUCACAUUGUUUUUGUUUGUUGUUCUUUUUUUUCUUUUUACUUCUUCACAUUAGUUUUUUUAACUUUCUAUAUUGGAAAUUGUUUCAUUUCAGCACAUAUAGCGCAUCCUCACUCUUUGAAAUGGCUUCAUAGCAUUUUAUUGUAUGGCAGUACAAAUAUUUGUUGAACCAUCCCCACUAACAGACAUUAAAUUAUUUCCGUUAUCUUGCUUUGACAAAUACCACUGUGCUCAGUGCACUUGUGCAGGAGUCGUUCUGCACCCUUGGGGUAGAUCCAUAGGCUAAACACCUAGAAUUGCUGGGUUGAAGACGUCAUGCGUAUUAAAUUUUGUUAGCUGUCGUCAAAGAACCUUCCAUGGAAAUUUUACCUGUUUACAGUUCCAGCAGCAAAGAUAAACUGCGUAUUUCCCCCCACCCCCCCGCCCCAACCAUCUUUACAAAUACAGUGUGGGAACAAACUUUAUUUGUACUAUUCCUUGCCAAUCUGAUAAGCAAACAAAAUUGUAUUUCAGUGUUUUAGUUUGCGUUCUUAUUGUAAGGAGUUUGAGCACCAAGGAACUGGUUAUGUAUGUGUGUACAGUUUUCAGGUACUUUUUAAAUUAAGUUACUGUCCUUUUUAAAUAUUGAUUUUUAGGAAUCAAUAUUUAAAACACACAACACAAUUAACUGUUUUGGCCGUUUUCCUUUGAUGUGAAGUACAUGAAUUUUUCCUAAUUUAUUAUCAUUUAAUUUUGUUUCUGGUGAUGUUUGCCAUUCAGGAAUAUCUUAGUUUGAGGGGUGGGGAGUUGAUCAAAUUUCUCAAUCUUUUCUUUUCUGGCUUAAAGAUUUUGUGUCAGAAUUAAAAAGGUCCUUUCUGAAUCAGA
RNAcentral lists this long non-coding RNA (3420 nucleotides) under Pan troglodytes (chimpanzee). RNAcentral's name for it is "lincRNA". The record is from RNAcentral. Lineage: Eukaryota; Metazoa; Chordata; Mammalia; Primates; Hominidae.